CGAACGUUAGCGGCGCGCCUAACACAUGCAAGUCGAGCGAGAAGGAAGCAAUUCCUGUAAAGCGGCGCACGGGUGAGUAACACGUAGGUAAUCUACCUCGAAGUGGUGGAUAACCUUCCGAAAGGAGGGCUAAUACAGCAUGAGACCACGGUUUCGAAAGAGAUUGAGGUCAAAGCGGGCCACUAUACAUAAGCUCGCGCUUCGAGAUGAGCCUGCGGCCCAUCAUGGUAGUUGGUAGGGUAAUGGGCCCUACCAAAGCCGAAGACGGGUAGCUGGUCUGAGAGGAUGAUCAGCCACACUGGAACUGAGACACGGUCCCAGACUCCUACGGGAGGCAGCAGUGGGGAAUCUUGCGCAAUGGGCGAAAGCCUGACGCAGCGAGCCGCGUGAGUGAUGAAGGCCCUU
RNAcentral lists this ribosomal RNA (405 nucleotides) under uncultured bacterium. Its description in RNAcentral is "bacterial SSU rRNA". It matches the Rfam family "Bacterial small subunit ribosomal RNA", at positions 30 to 419 of the family's 1533-position model. The record is from RNAcentral.